GAGUUUGAUUCUGGCUCAGGACAAACGCUGGCGGCGUGCAUAACACAUGCAAGUCGAACGAAAUCUACAUGAUUUAGUGGCGAACGGGUGAGUAACACGUGAGAAACCUGCCUUACACAGAGGGAUAGCCGUUGGAAACGACGAUUAAUACCUCAUGACACCGUGACAUCGCAUGAUGAUGCGGUCAAAGAUUNAUCGGUGUAAGAUGGUCUCGCGCCUGAUUAGCUGGUUGGUGGGGUAACGGCCUACCAAGGCGACGAUCAGUAGCCGAUCUGAGAGGGUGGACGGCCACAUUGGGACUGAGACACGGCCCAAACUCCUACGGGAGGCAGCAGUGGGGAAUUUUGCACAAUGGGGGAAACCCUGAUGCAGCGACGCCGCGUGAACGAAGAAGGCCUUCGGGUUGUAAAGUUCUGUUCCUUGGUGAAGNUANGGACANAACCAAGAAGAAG
Molecule: ribosomal RNA, 452 nt
Filed under: Helcococcus sp. canine oral taxon 069
Lineage: Bacteria; Bacillati; Bacillota; Tissierellia; Tissierellales; Peptoniphilaceae
Description: bacterial SSU rRNA
Rfam family: Bacterial small subunit ribosomal RNA
Source: RNAcentral